GACGAACGCGGGCGGCGUGCUUAACACAUGCAAGUCGAACGAAGAGCGACGGAAGCUUGCUUCUAUCAAUCUUAGUGGCGAACGGGUGAGUAACGCGUAAUCAACCUGCCCUUCAGAGGGGGACAACAGUUGGAAACGACUGCUAAUACCGCAUACGAUCUAAUCUCGGCAUCGAGGAUGGAUGAAAGGUGGCCUCUACAUGUAAGCUAUCACUGAAGGAGGGGAUUGCGUCUGAUUAGCUAGUUGGAGGGGUAACGGCCCACCAAGGCGAUGAUCAGUAGCUGGUCUGAGAGGAUGAACGGCCACAUUGGGACUGAGACACGGCCCAGACUCCUACGGGAGGCAGCAGUGGGGAAUCUUCCGCAAUGGACGAAAGUCUGACGGAGCAACGCCGCGUGAGUGAUGACGGCCUUCGGGUUGUAAAGCUCUGUUAAUCGGGACGAAAGGCC
This 449-nucleotide ribosomal RNA is filed under the name Veillonella parvula. Its description in RNAcentral is "bacterial SSU rRNA". It matches the Rfam family "Bacterial small subunit ribosomal RNA", at positions 28 to 454 of the family's 1533-position model. Lineage: Bacteria; Bacillati; Bacillota; Negativicutes; Veillonellales; Veillonellaceae. The record is from RNAcentral.